Molecule: ribosomal RNA, 318 nt
Filed under: uncultured eukaryote
Lineage: Eukaryota
Description: partial 18S ribosomal RNA
Rfam family: Eukaryotic small subunit ribosomal RNA
Source: RNAcentral
CCCUUAGAUGUCCUGGGCCGCACGCGUGCUACACUGACGCAUACAGCGAGCACUUUCCAGUUCCGAGAGGCUACUGGUAAUCAUCAAUAUGCGUCGUGAUGGGGAUAGAUCUUUGGAAUUCUGGAUCUUGAACGAGGAAUGCCUAGUAAUCGCAGGUCAUUAGCCUGCGAUGAUUAAGUCCCUGCCCUUUGUACACACCGCCCGUCGCUACUACCGAUUUCGAGUGGUCAGGUGAAUCUUUCGGACUGUGGGCGCCCUCGAGGUGUUCGCGGAAAGUCAGGUAAAUCUUAUCACUUAGAGGAAGUAAAAGUCGUAACA